Molecule: ribosomal RNA, 524 nt
Filed under: uncultured bacterium
Lineage: Bacteria
Description: partial 16S ribosomal RNA
Rfam family: Bacterial small subunit ribosomal RNA
Source: RNAcentral
GACGAACGCUGGCGGCGUGCCUAAUACAUGCAAGUCGAACGAAGCUGUUUUAACUGGUGCUUGCACCGACUUAAACAACUGAGUGGCGAACGGGUGAGUAACACGUGGGUAACCUGCCCCAAAGCGGGGGAUAACAUUUGGAAACAGAUGCUAAUACCGCAUAACCACAGAAACCACAUGGUUUCUGUGUCAAAGAUGGUUUCGGCUAUCACUUUGGGAUGGACCCGCGGCGUAUUAGCUAGUUGGUAAGGUAAUGGCUUACCAAGGCAAUGGUACGUAGCCGAACUGAGAGGUUGAGCGGCCACAUUGGGACUGAGACACGGCCCAAACUCCUACGGGAGGCAGCAGUAGGGAAUCUUCCACAAUGGACGAAAGUCUGAUGGAGCAACGCCGCGUGAGUGAAGAAGGUUUUCGGAUCGUAAAACUCUGUUGUCAGAGAAGAACGUGUGCGAGAGUAACUGCUCGUGCAGUGACGGUAUCUGGCCAGAAAGCCACGGCUAACUACGUGCCAGCAGCCGCCGUAA